UCCGUAGGUGGAUAAUUAAGUCAGAGGUGAAAUCCUGCAGCUCAACUGUAGAAUUGCCUUUGAUACUGGUUAUCUUGAGUCAUUAUGAAGUGGUUAGAAUGUGUAGUGUAGCGGUGAAAUGCAUAGAUAUUACACAGAAUACCGAUUGCGAAGGCAGAUCACUAAUAAUGUACUGACACUGAGGGAAGAAAGCGUGGGGAGCGAACAGGAUUAGAUACCCUGGUAGUCC
Molecule: ribosomal RNA, 229 nt
Filed under: uncultured bacterium
Lineage: Bacteria
Description: partial 16S ribosomal RNA
Rfam family: Bacterial small subunit ribosomal RNA
Source: RNAcentral